GUGGGGAAUAUUGGACAAUGGGCGAAAGCCUGAUCCAGCCAUGCCGCGUGUGUGAAGAAGGUCUUCGGAUUGUAAAGCACUUUAAGUUGGGAGGAAGGGCAGUAAGUUAAUACCUUGCUGUUUUGACGUUACCGACAGAAUAAGCACCGGCUAACUCUGUGCCAGCAGCCGCGGUAAUACAGAGGGUGCAAGCGUUAAUCGGAAUUACUGGGCGUAAAGCGUGCGCAGGCGGUUUUGUAAGACAGGUGUGAAAUCCCCGGGCUCAACCUGGGAACUGCCUCCAAAACUGCAUGACUAGAGUACGGUAGAGGGUAGUGGAAUUUCCUGUGUAGCGGUGAAAUGCGUAGAUAUAGGAAGGAACACCAGUGGCGAAGGCGACUACCUGGACUGAUACUGACACUGAGGUGCGAAAGCGUGGGGAGCAAACAGGAUUAGAAACCCGUGUAGUCC
RNAcentral lists this ribosomal RNA (450 nucleotides) under uncultured bacterium. RNAcentral describes it as "bacterial SSU rRNA". It matches the Rfam family "Bacterial small subunit ribosomal RNA", at positions 354 to 796 of the family's 1533-position model. The record is from RNAcentral.